CGGGAGGCUUAAUACAUGCAAGUCGAGGGGUAACGAUGGACUUCGGUCCAGGCGACGACCGGCGCACGGGUGAGUAACGCGUACACAACCUACCUUCAAGAGGGGGAUAGCCUCGGGAAACUGAGAUUAAUACCCCAUGUGAUUAACUUAUAAUAUGAUUGGUUAAUUAAAGAUCCGUCGCUUGAAGAUGGGUGUGCGUCCCAUUAGGUAGUUGGUGAGGUAACGGCUCACCAAGCCGACGAUGGGUAGGGGGCGUGAGAGCGUGGCCCCCCACACGGGUACUGAGACACGGACCCGACUCCUACGGGAGGCAGCAGUAACGAAUAUUGGACAAUGGAGGAAACUCUGAUCCAUCUAUCCCUGCGUGCACGAUGACAGCCCUACGGGUUGUAAACUGCU
This 399-nucleotide ribosomal RNA is filed under the name uncultured bacterium. RNAcentral describes it as "bacterial SSU rRNA". It matches the Rfam family "Bacterial small subunit ribosomal RNA", at positions 40 to 434 of the family's 1533-position model. The record is from RNAcentral.